GACGAACGCUGGCGGCGUGCUUAACACAUGCAAGUCGAACGGUGAAGCGCCUUCCUUUUUGGUUGGUGUGGAUGAGUGGCGAACGGGUGAGUAACACGUGAGUAACCUGCCCCCUUCUUCUGGAUAACCGCAUGAAAGUGUGGCUAAUACGGGAUAUUCUGGUUCUUUCGCAUGAUGGGUCUGGGACGGAUAUUGUUUCGGUGGGGGAUGCGCUCGCGGCCUAUCAGCUUGUUGGUGGGGUGAUGGCCUACCAAGGCGGUGACGGGUAGCCGGCCUGAGAGGGUGGCCGGUCAGAGUGGGAGUGAGACACGGUCGAGACUCAUACGGGAGGCAGCAGUGGGGAAUAUUGCACAAUGGGCGAAAGCCUGAUGCAGCGACGCCGCGUGAGGGAUGGAGGCCUUCGGGUUGUGAACCUCUUUCGGCAGUGAAGCAGGCCUGCCUGGUUUGUGGGUGGGUUGACGGUAGCUGGAUAAGAAGCGCCGGCUAACUACGUG
RNAcentral lists this ribosomal RNA (494 nucleotides) under uncultured bacterium. RNAcentral's name for it is "partial 16S ribosomal RNA". It matches the Rfam family "Bacterial small subunit ribosomal RNA", at positions 28 to 507 of the family's 1533-position model. The record is from RNAcentral.